RNAcentral lists this ribosomal RNA (321 nucleotides) under Triticum aestivum (bread wheat). RNAcentral's name for it is "partial small subunit ribosomal RNA". Lineage: Eukaryota; Viridiplantae; Streptophyta; Magnoliopsida; Poales; Poaceae. The record is from RNAcentral.
AUGAUGAGCUUCCAGAGGCAAGAACACAAGGCAUACCACGCCAGCCAGGGCCGGCUUCCCUUGGCUUGUCAAGUCGUCAUGGUGGUGGGGGCAAAGCCUCCCCACAGACUCCAGACUCGCACGCUUUUAGCAGGCCGAAGCAACCGGACAUCAUUUCGUCCAUGGCCAGAGCUUGGACUACCCGAUUCGGCGGUUCCAGUGCCCUACCUACAUGGCCAUGGCCAGGGAGCAGCAACAGGAGCCGUGGCCAUGUGGUUGUCCUUCAUGUCAAGAGCUCGCCGGAAAGAGUGGCUCCGAUGGCCUAUAAACUGGGGCCGGUAA